Molecule: small RNA, 457 nt
Filed under: Pongo abelii (Sumatran orangutan)
Lineage: Eukaryota; Metazoa; Chordata; Mammalia; Primates; Hominidae
Description: retained intron
Source: RNAcentral
AUUUAGUAGACAAAAAUGAGGUCAUAAGAUAGAUUUUUUUUUCCUAAUAAAACAUUGUAAAAAUAACAUUGUGAAAUUUGAUGCUCAUUUAUUUCUCUUAGGACAGCAGCGUUCUCGGAUGCUAGCUACUCUUUUUAAGGAUGAAAGGUGCCAGCAACUUGCUGCCUAUGGGAUCCUAGAGAAAAUGUAUCUAGAUAGGAUCAUCAGAGGAAAUCAGCUUCAAGAAUUUGCUGCCAUGCUGAUGCCUCACCAAAAAGCAACACGGCUGAUGGGUUCAGCAUCUUGGACAGAGCUGUUAUUGAACACAAUUUGUUGGUCUGCAAGCAAAUUAUAUAAUAAAUUUACCUUCGACCAGAAUUGGAGCUCUCUUUGGGAUACCUGCAGCUAAUGGCGGAAAAAGUAGCAUCUCAAUGAUAACCGAAGGACGUAUGAAUGAUUUAUUGACCAGAUCGAUGGA